Long non-coding RNA from Apis florea (little honeybee), 1248 nucleotides. The record is from RefSeq and is a predicted model, not a curated record. Lineage: Eukaryota; Metazoa; Arthropoda; Insecta; Hymenoptera; Apidae.
CUCUCUCUCUCUCUCUCUUGCGGUAAUUCGACAGGGUAACGUUCGUAAAAGGCGUGCAAGUGACAGAAGAGCGGAAUCUCGGCUCUAGGGAAACGAACGAGUCGCGAUGAGUAGCAUCCUAAAAGUUGAGUGGCAGCCAUCUCAUUACUUAAAUGCGUCCGUUAGCAAGAGAGAGAGAGAGAGAGGAAGUUUCCACGGUCAUAAUCGCCGCUAAUUGACGUCGGAGUUAUAAAGUUCAGUGAAAUUAGCUAAAUCCGUAUUUGGACUCUCGUUAUUCCGACCCCCCUUCCUUCCUUUCUUCGCUUUGCCUCUUUCGUUCAAUCCUUCCUCCCUCCCCCCUCGAAUUAAUCGCCGGUUGUCUUUAUAUCGCUCGUGGCUUAAAAGAAGAAGUUUUUUUUUUCUCGUUGUCGAAGUUGCGGGAUUAAAUAUAUCGAAGGAGGAGGAGGAAUUGCGCAUCGUGUUUGAUGAAAAUUAAAGAAACGAAACGAUUAACGAUUAAUUGGAGGGGAAGUUUGGAGAAAAGUUUGGCGGAAGGUGAGAGAUAAAGGAAGGAAGAAACGAAUCGGUUGGAAAAACGUAAGAUAUUGAAUAAUUUGGCGAGUUUUCACGCAAUCCGUCCAUUGAAAGCGAAAAAAAAAAAGUUAGUUCUAACGAAACGAAAGUUAGGUGGCAUUAUUAUGACGACGGAUCAACAACAUGUCUGGCAUUCUCAUGUAAAGUGUCGCACCAUCGUAAUCAGUAUCAUCACUGUCACUCCUUAAUAUCCAUUUGCAUUCAUUUUAAAAUAUCCUUCACCUCGCUCGUCAUUGUGUUGUGAGUCCCAGUGUUGUGUGUUUGUAUAUUUGAAAGUAUAAAUACUCAACGUUUUUUUACUUGAACCGGGAAGAAACUCAUUUUCGUAACAAACAUCGUCGUGACAUUCUAAUCAUUACUCUCUUCGUCGGCUCCCCCUCUCUCUUUCUCUCUCAUUCGAUCCAUUUUUCUUUCAUUCUUCAUCUUCUCGUCUCUCUCCUCCCUCUCGGAACGUCCCAGAACGUCAUCUCCCUCUCAUCUUCUUCGUAUCCCUCUUCUCGAAUCCCAAAAGUGACGCGAUUCAUUAAAGAAAAAAAAAAAAAGAAAAAAAGAAAUCAUCCUUGAAAUUUCCGCGCGACGAGAGAGAAAUCAGAUUGUCAUUGUCAAAGACGGUCACGAAUCUUCAUCUUCAUUCAUCAAAAAAAGAAAAAAAAAAAAAAAAAAAAAAAAGAAAAA